Trichobilharzia regenti is the source of this 46-nucleotide non-coding RNA. The record is from Rfam. Lineage: Eukaryota; Metazoa; Platyhelminthes; Trematoda; Strigeidida; Schistosomatidae.
GUACUGAUGAAAAGUCCCAAACUGGGACGAAACAGCUGUCCAGUAC